UCCGGCUUAUCACCGGCAGUUUCUUUAGAGUGCCCAACUAAAUGAUGGCAACUAAAGACGAGGGUUGCGCUCGUUGCGGGACUUAACCCAACACCUCACGGCACGAGCUGACGACAACCAUGCACCACCUGUAUACGCCCCCGAAGGACACCACAUCUCUGCGGCUUUUGCGUAUAUUUCAAGCCCUGGUAAGGUUCUUCGCGUUGCGUCGAAUUAAGCCACAUGCUCCGCCGCUUGUGCGGGCCCCCGUCAAUUCCUUUGAGUUUUAAUCUUGCGACCGUACUCCCCAGGCGGAAUGCUUAAUCCGUUAGGUGUGACACCGAAGGGCAAGCCCCCCGACGUCUGGCAUUCAUCGUUUAGGGUGUGGACUAC
RNAcentral lists this unclassified non-coding RNA (372 nucleotides) under uncultured bacterium. RNAcentral describes it as "contains 16S-23S intergenic spacer region". The record is from RNAcentral.